RNAcentral lists this ribosomal RNA (537 nucleotides) under Triticum aestivum (bread wheat). RNAcentral describes it as "partial small subunit ribosomal RNA". The record is from RNAcentral. Lineage: Eukaryota; Viridiplantae; Streptophyta; Magnoliopsida; Poales; Poaceae.
AUGUUAACCUCGCUGAGGACAUUGAUUGUAGAAGAUUCAGUUGGUCUAGUUGGACCAUUAGGAGGAGGUCAGAGUGAUGUGGAGUGGCAGCUCCCUGUUGAGCAUAUGCAUGUCAAUAGGUUAAAUGGUAAUAGUGGGAAGGAAUUGACAGAGCUCCUCCCCGACCUCCCAAAGCUCUCCAAAUUGGAAAUACGGAGUUGUAAAAACAUAAAAGGGCUGGUAGUGGGGGUGGAUGUGCAACAAACAACACAAGAAGCAUCAGAGAUGGGGGGAGGUGAAAUAAAAGCAACAACAGAGGAAGAGGAUGAUGGGGUGCUGCUCCUCCCAGCUCAUCUCUGUGACUCACUACGGGAAUUGGAUUUCCUUGACUGCCCAGAGCUGGUCCUGGUGGACCCACCAACUCUUGUUCCUGGUGGAGGAGGGCUCCAAGCCUUGCGAUCCCUCCAGAGAUUAGAAAUAAAAAGUAUUGCACAAACUUUCUAUCCCGUCUUGGCUCUUUUUCCCGUCACAUUUUCCCUUACUCCCUGUAGUUCCUGA